Molecule: ribosomal RNA, 457 nt
Filed under: uncultured bacterium
Lineage: Bacteria
Description: bacterial SSU rRNA
Rfam family: Bacterial small subunit ribosomal RNA
Source: RNAcentral
UACGGGAGCAGCAGUGGGGAAUAUUGCACAAUGGGCGAAAGCCUGAUGCAGCUAUGCCGCGUGUAUGAAGAAGGCCUUAGGGUUGUAAAGUACUUUCAUCGGGGAGGAAAAACAAAACUAAUAAUUUUAUUUCUUGACGUUACCCGAAAAAGAAGCACCGGCUAACUCCGUGCCAGCAGCCGCGGUAAUACGGAGGGUGCUAGCGUUAAUCAGAAUUACUGGGCGUAAAGAGCACGUAGGUGGUUUUUUUAAGUCAGAUGUGAAAUCCCUGGGCUUAACCUAGGAACUGCAUUUUGAAACUGAAAUACUAGAGUAUCGUAGAGGGAGGUAGAAUUCUAGGUGUAGCGGUGAAAUGCGUAGAUAUCUGGAGGAAUACCUGUGGCGAAAGCGGCCUCCUAAACGAAUACUGACACUGAGGUGCGAAAGCGUGGGGAGCAAACAGGGAUUAGAUACCCGU